GAGGGCCUAACUGUCUCCUGUAGUCAAUCAAUGAAAUUGAUCUCACAGUACAAACGCUGUGAUACAACUAUAAGACGAGAAGACCCUGUGGAGCUUUAAACCUAUCACAUUAACUAAUUAACCUUAACUAUUAUUAGCAUAACGUGAGUUUUAAGUUGGGGCGACUACGGAGUAAAAAUAAACCUCCACGUGAUACGAUUUAAUCUCGUUACAUGAGGCUAACAAGCCUAGUCAAAACACAUGACCCAGUAAAACUGAUUAUCGAACCAAGUUACCCCAGGGAUAACAGCGCCAUCCCCUUAAAGAGUCCACAUCG
RNAcentral lists this ribosomal RNA (316 nucleotides) under Phelsuma hoeschi. RNAcentral's name for it is "partial 16S ribosomal RNA". It matches the Rfam family "Bacterial large subunit ribosomal RNA", at positions 2006 to 2507 of the family's 2925-position model. Lineage: Eukaryota; Metazoa; Chordata; Lepidosauria; Squamata; Gekkonidae. The record is from RNAcentral.